RNAcentral lists this ribosomal RNA (253 nucleotides) under uncultured bacterium. Its description in RNAcentral is "partial 16S ribosomal RNA". It matches the Rfam family "Bacterial small subunit ribosomal RNA", at positions 524 to 776 of the family's 1533-position model. The record is from RNAcentral.
UACGUAGGGAGCAAGCGUUGUUCGGAAUUACUGGGCGUAAAGGGCGCGUAGGCGGCUUCUUAAGUUUGGUGUGAAAUCUCACGGCUCAACUGGGAGGGUGCGCCGGAUACUGAGGGGCUAGAGUGUGGGAGAGGAAAGUGGAAUUCCAGGUGUAGCGGUGAAAUGCGUAGAUAUCUGGAGGAACACCGGUGGUGUAAACGGCUUUCUGGACCAUUACUGACGCUGAGGCACGAAAGCGUGGGGAGCAAACAGG